AGCGCAUACGGUGGAUGCCUUGGCAGUCAGAGGCGAUGAAAGACGUGGUAGCCUGCGAAAAGCUUCGGGGAGUCGGCAAACAGACUUUGAUCCGGAGAUCUCUGAAUGGGGGAACCCACCUAGGAUAACCUAGGUAUCUUGUACUGAAUCCAUAGGUGCAAGAGGCGAACCAGGGGAACUGAAACAUCUAAGUACCCUGAGGAAAAGAAAUCAACCGAGAUUCCCUUAGUAGUGGCGAGCGAACGGGGAUUAGCCCUUAAGCUUCAUUGAUUUUAGCGGAACGCUCUGGAAAGUGCGGCCAUAGUGGGUGAUAGCCCCGUACGCGAAAGGAUCUUUGAAGUGAAAUCGAGUAGGACGGAGCACGAGAAACUUUGUCUGAACAUGGGGGGACCAUCCUCCAAGGCUAAAUACUACUGACUGACCGAUAGUGAACCAGUACCGUGAGGGAAAGGCGAAAAGAACCCCGGAGAGGGGAGUGAAAUAGAACCUGAAACCGUAUGCGUACAAGCAGUGGGAGCCUACUUGUUAGGUGACUGCGUACCUUUUGUAUAAUGGGUCAGCGACUUAUAUUCAGUGGCAAGCUUAACCGUAUAGGGUAGGCGUAGCGAAAGCGAGUCUUAAUAGGGCGUUUAGUCGCUGGGUAUAGACCCGAAACCGGGCGAUCUAUCCAUGAGCAGGUUGAAGGUUAGGUAACACUGACUGGAGGACCGAACCCACUCCCGUUGAAAAGGUAGGGGAUGACUUGUGGAUCGGAGUGAAAGGCUAAUCAAGCUCGGAGAUAGCUGGUUCUCCUCGAAAGCUAUUUAGGUAGCGCCUCAUGUAUCACUCUGGGGGGUAGAGCACUGUUUCGGCUAGGGGGUCAUCCCGACUUACCAAACCGAUGCAAACUCCGAAUACCCAGAAGUGCCGAGCAUGGGAGACACACGGCGGGUGCUAACGUCCGUCGUGAAAAGGGAAACAACCCAGACCGCCAGCUAAGGUCCCAAAGUUGUGGUUAAGUGGUAAACGAUGUGGGAAGGCUUAGACAGCUAGGAGGUUGGCUUAGAAGCAGCCAUCCUUUAAAGAAAGCGUAAUAGCUCACUAGUCGAGUCGGCCUGCGCGGAAGAUGUAACGGGGCUCAAACCACACACCGAAGCUGCGGGUGUCACGCAAGUGACGCGGUAGAGGAGCGUUCUGUAAGCCUGUGAAGGUGAGUUGAGAAGCUUGCUGGAGGUAUCAGAAGUGCGAAUGCUGACAUGAGUAACGACAAUGGGUGUGAAAAACAUCCACGCCGAAAGACCAAGGGUUCCUGCGCAACGUUAAUCGACGCAGGGUUAGUCGGUUCCUAAGGCGAGGCUGAAAAGCGUAGUCGAUGGGAAACAGGUUAAUAUUCCUGUACUUCUGGUUACUGCGAUGGAGGGACGGAGAAGGCUAGGCCAGCUUGGCGUUGGUUGUCCAAGUUUAAGGUGGUAGGCUGAAAUCUUAGGUAAAUCCGGGGUUUCAAGGCCGAGAGCUGAUGACGAGUCGUCUUUUAGAUGACGAAGUGGUUGAUGCCAUGCUUCCAAGAAAAGCUUCUAAGCUUCAGGUAACCAGGAACCGUACCCCAAACCGACACAGGUGGUCGGGUAGAGAAUACCAAGGCGCUUGAGAGAACUCGGGUGAAGGAACUAGGCAAAAUGGCACCGUAACUUCGGGAGAAGGUGCGCCGGCUAGGGUGAAGGAUUUACUCCGUAAGCUCUGGCUGGUCGAAGAUACCAGGCCGCUGCGACUGUUUAUUAAAAACACAGCACUCUGCAAACACGAAAGUGGACGUAUAGGGUGUGACGCCUGCCCGGUGCCGGAAGGUUAAUUGAUGGGGUUAGCGCAAGCGAAGCUCUUGAUCGAAGCCCCGGUAAACGGCGGCCGUAACUAUAACGGUCCUAAGGUAGCGAAAUUCCUUGUCGGGUAAGUUCCGACCUGCACGAAUGGCGUAACGAUGGCGGCGCUGUCUCCACCCGAGACUCAGUGAAAUUGAAAUCGCUGUGAAGAUGCAGUGUAUCCGCGGCUAGACGGAAAGACCCCGUGAACCUUUACUGUAGCUUUGCACUGGACUUUGAGCCUGCUUGUGUAGGAUAGGUGGGAGGCUUUGAAGCGUGGACGCCAGUUCGCGUGGAGCCAUCCUUGAAAUACCACCCUGGCAUGCUUGAGGUUCUAACUCUGGUCCGUGAUCCGGAUCGAGGACAGUGUAUGGUGGGCAGUUUGACUGGGGCGGUCUCCUCCUAAAGAGUAACGGAGGAGUACGAAGGUGCGCUCAGACCGG
Molecule: ribosomal RNA, 2278 nt
Filed under: Pseudomonas aeruginosa
Lineage: Bacteria; Pseudomonadati; Pseudomonadota; Gammaproteobacteria; Pseudomonadales; Pseudomonadaceae
Description: bacterial LSU rRNA
Rfam family: Bacterial large subunit ribosomal RNA
Source: RNAcentral